UACGGGGGGGGCAAGCGUUGUUCGGAAUUACUGGGCGUAAAGGGCUCGUAGGCGGCCGACUAAGUCAGACGUGAAAUCCCUCGGCUUAACCGGGGAACUGCGUCUGAUACUGGACGGCUUGAGUUCGGGAGAGGGAUGUGGAAUUCCAGGUGUAGCGGUGAAAUGCGUAGAUAUCUGGAGGAACACCGGUGGCGAAGGCGGCAUCCUGGACCGACACUGACGCUGAGGAGCGAAAGCCAGGGGAGCAAACGGG
RNAcentral lists this ribosomal RNA (253 nucleotides) under uncultured bacterium. RNAcentral describes it as "partial 16S ribosomal RNA". It matches the Rfam family "Bacterial small subunit ribosomal RNA", at positions 524 to 776 of the family's 1533-position model. The record is from RNAcentral.